CUCAAGUAAUGGACAAUGACAACCGAGAUGCAAAUUCUGGUACUAUUGAAGUGCAGGAAGAGAAAACAGAGACCGUAGAGGAUGAGCUAUUAUAUGCCACAGUGAAUCAUUCAGGUGCUGGUGAAAACUCUGGUCCUGCAGUGAAGUUUGAAUCAGGAACGGAUUACGCCACAGUGGUCAUACACUGAACAACCUGUAACACUGAAUUGAUUUUUUUUCCCUCAGGGAUUUUAGCCA
Molecule: long non-coding RNA, 237 nt
Organism: Sinocyclocheilus grahami
Lineage: Eukaryota; Metazoa; Chordata; Actinopteri; Cypriniformes; Cyprinidae
Exons: 3
Source: RefSeq, a predicted model, not a curated record